CAGUCGCCACGGAAAUACGAAGGGGGCUAGCGUUGUUCGGAUUUACUGGGCGUAAAGCGCACGUAGGCGGAUCGAUCAGUCAGGGGUGAAAUCCCAGAGCUCAACUCUGGAACUGCCUUUGAUACUGUCGAUCUGGAGUAUGGAAGAGGUGAGUGGAACUCCGAGUGUAGAGGUGAAAUCCGUAGAUAUUCGGAAGAACACCAGUGGCGAAGGCGGCUCACUGGACGCGUAUUGACGCUGAGGUGCGAAAGCGUGGGGAGCAAACAGGAUUAGAUACCCGAGUAGUCCCUGUCUCUUAUAC
This 301-nucleotide ribosomal RNA is filed under the name uncultured bacterium. Its description in RNAcentral is "partial 16S ribosomal RNA". It matches the Rfam family "Bacterial small subunit ribosomal RNA", at positions 509 to 807 of the family's 1533-position model. The record is from RNAcentral.